GAAAAACAAAGAAGAAGCAAAAAUCCAAGUUAACUAGAUUUUAACCCGCGGUAUACCGCGCGGCUAUAUAUUGUUAGAAAAUAAU
RNAcentral lists this small RNA (85 nucleotides) under Arabidopsis thaliana (thale cress). Its description in RNAcentral is "ATSL056840". The record is from RNAcentral. Lineage: Eukaryota; Viridiplantae; Streptophyta; Magnoliopsida; Brassicales; Brassicaceae.